Molecule: ribosomal RNA, 894 nt
Filed under: uncultured bacterium
Lineage: Bacteria
Description: bacterial SSU rRNA
Rfam family: Bacterial small subunit ribosomal RNA
Source: RNAcentral
AAUAAACGCUGGCGGCGUGCCCAACACAUGCAAGUCGAACGAGAACGCCCGGCUUCGGCUGGGCUAGUAAAGUGGCGCACGGGUGAGUAACGCGUAGGUAACCUGCCCCUGUGUUCGGGAUAACAGUGCGAAAGCGCUGCUAAUACCGGAUGUGGCCAUAUGACGGUGGUUAUAUGGUCAAAGUCGGCCUCUCAAAGAAGCCGGCGCGCGGGGAUGGGCCUGCGUCCUAUCAGCUUGUUGGUAGGGUAACGGCCUACCAAGGCUUCGACGGGUAGCUGGUCUGAGAGGAUGAUCAGCCACACUGGCACUGAAAUACGGGCCAGACUCCUACGGGAGGCAGCAGUGAGGAAUUUUGCGCAAUGGCCGUAAGGCUGACGCAGCAACGCCGCGUGGGUGAAGAAGGCCUUCGGGUCGUAAAGCCCUGUCAGGUGGGAAGAAUGUCCGGGGGAUGAAUAAGCUCUCGGAGUGACGGUACCACCAGAGGAAGCACCGGCUAACUCCGUGUUAGCAGUUGUGGUAAUACGGAGGGUGCAAGCGUUAUUCGGAAUUACUGGGCGUAAAGCGCGUGCAGGCGGGUAUGCAAGUCUGAUGUGAAAGCCCCGGGUUUAACCUGGGAAGUGCAUUGGAAACUGCAUAUCUUGAGUACUGGAGAGGAUGGGGGAAUUCCCGGUGUAGAGGUGAAAUUCGUAGAGAUCGGGAGGAAUACCAGUGGCGAAGGCGCCCAUCUGGACGGUAACUGACGCUGAGACGCGAAAGCGUGGGGAGUAAACAGGAUUAGAUAUCCUGGUAGUCCACGCUGUAAACGAUGAGCACUAGGUGUAGCGGGUAUUUAUUCCUGCUGUGCCGCAGCUAAUGCGUUAAGUGCUCCGCCUGGGGAUUACGGUCGCAAGACUA